AGAGUUUGAUCCUGGCUCAGGACGAACGCUGGCGGUGUGCUUCACACAUGCAAGUCGAACGGAGUAGCAAUACUCAGUGGCGGACGGGUGAGUAACACGUGGGAAUCUACCAUUAGGUGGGGAAUAACAGGCCGAAAGGACUGCUAAUGCCGCAUAUGUAGGCAUCUCGACAGAGAUGUUUAUGAAAGGAGUAAUCCGCCUUUUGAUGAGCCCGCGUCCGAUUAGCUAGUUGGUAGGGUAAAAGCCUACCAAGGCGACGAUCGGUAGGUGGUCUGAGAGGAUGAUCACCCACAAUGGGACUGAGACACGGCCCAUACUCCUACGGGAGGCAGCAGUGGGGAAUUUUACGCAAUGGGGGAAACCCUGACGUAGCGACACCGCGUGAGCGAAGAAGCCCUUUGGGGUGUAAAGCUCUGUCAACAGGAACGAAACAAAUGACGGUACCUGUGGAGGAAGCAUCGGCUAACUACGUGCCAGCAGCCGCGGUAAGACGUAGGAUGCGAGCGUUGUCCGGAUUUAUUGGGCGUAAAGAGUUCGUAGGCGGUUUGUUAAGUCUGAUGUUAAAGACCGGGGCUCAACCUCGGAAAUGCAUUGGAUACUGGCAGACUGGAGUGCAGUAGAGGCUAGUGGAAUUCCCAGUGUAGCGGUGAAAUGCGUAGA
This 660-nucleotide ribosomal RNA is filed under the name uncultured bacterium. RNAcentral describes it as "bacterial SSU rRNA". It matches the Rfam family "Bacterial small subunit ribosomal RNA", at positions 8 to 694 of the family's 1533-position model. The record is from RNAcentral.